AUUUUUGAAUAUUAUAGCUUAAUAACCUUUCAAAUACUUUUCCAGUCAACUAAGUUAAGAUCACAGGUCUAUAAUUUCCAGGCAAGGAUUUUGAACCGUUUUUGAAUAUAGGAACCACAUCUGCCCUCCUCCAAUCCUCCGGAACACUUUCUGAAAGAAAAUCUUGAAAGAUUAAAAACAGAGGUUCACUUAUUUCUACACUUGGUUCCUUAAGUACUCGUGGAUGGAUACUGUCAGGCCCUGG
This is a non-coding RNA of Pelobates cultripes (western spadefoot toad), 244 nucleotides long. The record is from the annotation of a GenBank genome assembly. Lineage: Eukaryota; Metazoa; Chordata; Amphibia; Anura; Pelobatidae.